This 380-nucleotide ribosomal RNA is filed under the name uncultured Streptococcus sp. Its description in RNAcentral is "bacterial SSU rRNA". It matches the Rfam family "Bacterial small subunit ribosomal RNA", at positions 1000 to 1382 of the family's 1533-position model. Lineage: Bacteria; Bacillati; Bacillota; Bacilli; Lactobacillales; Streptococcaceae. The record is from RNAcentral.
CUAGAGAUAGAAAGUUACUUCGGUACAUCGGUGACAGGUGGUGCAUGGUUGUCGUCAGCUCGUGUCGUGAGAUGUUGGGUUAAGUCCCGCAACGAGCGCAACCCCUAUUGUUAGUUGCCAUCAUUCAGUUGGGCACUCUAGCGAGACUGCCGGUAAUAAACCGGAGGAAGGUGGGGAUGACGUCAAAUCAUCAUGCCCCUUAUGACCUGGGCUACACACGUGCUACAAUGGUUGGUACAACGAGUUGCGAGUCGGUGACGGCGAGCUAAUCUCUUAAAGCCAAUCUCAGUUCGGAUUGUAGGCUGCAACUCGCCUACAUGAAGUCGGAAUCGCUGGUAAUCGCGGAUCAGCACGCCGCGGUGAAUACGUUCCCGGGCCUU